CCUACGGGAGGCAGCAGUGGGGGAUAUUGGACAAUGGGGGGAACCCUGAUCCAGCGACGCCGCGUGAGUGAAGAAGUAUCUCGGUAUGUAAAGCUCUAUCAGCAGGGAAGAAGAAAUGACGGUACCUGAGUAAGAAGCCCCGGCUAACUACGUGCCAGCAGCCGCGGUAAUACGUAGGGGGCAAGCGUUAUCCGGAAUUACUGGGUGUAAAGGGAGCGUAGACGGUGAUGUAAGUCUGGAGUGAAAGGCGGGGGCCCAACCCCCGGACUGCUCUGGAAACUAUGUGACUGGAGUGCAGGAGAGGUGAGCGGAAUUCCUAGUGUAGCGGUGAAAUGCGUAGAUAUUAGGAGGAACACCAGUGGCGAAGGCGGCUCACUGGACUGUAACUGACGUUGAGGCUCGAAAGCGUGGGGAGCAAACAGGAUUAGAUACCCGGGU
RNAcentral lists this ribosomal RNA (438 nucleotides) under uncultured bacterium. RNAcentral's name for it is "bacterial SSU rRNA". It matches the Rfam family "Bacterial small subunit ribosomal RNA", at positions 338 to 791 of the family's 1533-position model. The record is from RNAcentral.